Oncorhynchus tshawytscha (Chinook salmon) is the source of this 3823-nucleotide long non-coding RNA. RefSeq lists it as uncharacterized. The record is from RefSeq and is a predicted model, not a curated record. NCBI's taxonomy places the organism in Eukaryota, Metazoa, Chordata, Actinopteri, Salmoniformes, Salmonidae. The transcript is spliced from 2 exons.
GCUGUGUCCAGGCACUCUUGGUGCCUAAGAACAGCCCUUAGCCGUGGUAUAUUGACCAUAUACCACACCCCCUCGGGCCUUAUUGCUUAAUUAUACAAUGGUAGCAUGCUAUUUGUUUUAUUGUGUAAAACGAUUGUAUUUAACCAGAUGAUUUGCUCAACAUUAUGCUACUACCUGUACUGUAGCAUCAUUUAACUGUUAAUAUGUCUAUGAGCUCAUGGAAGCUUCCCUGUAGCAGUGCUAAACCAGGUCGAAGUGAAGCUUCCUUGUAGCAGUGCUAAACCAGGUUGAAGUGAAGCUUCCUUGUAGCAGUGCUAAACCAGGUUGAAGUGAAGCUUCCCUGUAGCAGUGCUAAACCAGGUUGAAGUGAAGCUUCCCUGUAGCAGUGCUAAACCAGGUUGAAGUGAAGCUUCCUUGUAGCAGUGCUAAACCAGGUUGAAGUGAAGCUUCCCUGUAGCAGUGCUAAACCAGGUUGAAGUGAAGCUUCCCUGUAGCAGUGCUAAACCACGUUGAAGUUAAGCUUCCCUGUAGCAGUGCUAAACCAAGUUGAAGUGAAGCUUCCCUGUAGCAGUGCUAAACCAAGUUGAAGUGAAGCUUCCCUGUAGCAGUGCUAAACCAAGUUGAAGUGAAGCUUCCCUGUAGCAGUGCUAAACCAGGUUGAAGUGAAGCUUCCCUGUAGCAGUGCUAAACCAGGUUGAAGUGAAGCUUCCCUGUAGCAGUGCUAAACCAAGUUGAAGUUAAGCUUCCCUGUAGCAGGGCUAAACCAGGUUGAAGUGUUGACUGAAGGUUGCAGGGCUAAACCCUCUGCUGCUAUGUACUAAAGCAGUGGUCUAAAAGGAAAAGGAAACCGCUCAGAUGUUUUAUUUACAUGACUUAAAAAAUGUAAGCCUAUGCAACAUUAACCAAUUAAAAACAGUCCUGUGGUAAUGAGGUUUGUGCAGUAAGCUAUAGUCCCAAUACACUAUCACUGUAUAUUGGCUAGGUUUGAAUUGCCCUGCCAAUGUUGUUUUUCAAUAGGACAUUCUAAAAUUAUAUUUCAACAUUAUAGGUAUUAUGAUCAGACUGGUAAUAGAUAAUUUUAUGUAUUACUUGUGAGGCACAGCUGAGUGACAUAAUAAUUAUAUAUACUUUUUUUUACUGUACUGAUGACCUGCAUCUGAUGGUCAGUCUGAGGGGAGGGAGCAGCAGUGAGGCUGGCUCUCACCUAACACACCAUCCCUCUGCUAAGAUAAGGGGAUGUAAGGGGACGUAGUCUUCCAUCUGAUGGUCACUCUGAGGGGAGGGAGCAGCAGUGAGGCUGGCUCUCACCUAACACACCAUCCCUCUGCUAAGAUAAGGGGACGUAAGGGGACUUAGUCUUCCAUCUGAUGGUCACUCUGAGGGGAGGGAGCAGCAGUGAGGCUGGCUCUCACCUAACACACCAUCCCUCUGCUAAGAAAAGGGGACGUAGUCUUCCAUCUGAUGGUCAGUCUGAGGGGAGGGAGCAGCAGUGAGGCUGGCUCUCACCUAACACACCAUCCCUCUGCUAAGAUAAUGGGAUGUAGUCUUCCAUCUGAUGGUGAAACUCAAGUAGCACUGCAUUAUUUCUGCCUCAUGCACCAAUUCAUGUUGUUACUCCCAUGACCAGAGAAAGUGAAACAUUCCUUGAUAUUGAAAAAGACACAAGCUGCUAAAAAUAACAACUCAAGCUUAUUAAAACACUUUGCUACUCAUUCAUUGCAGCUGCAGUGCUGGUUGUAGCAUGAGUGGAAGUAGGGAGAACGCGCAUUUUAUGCUUUAUAAAAGUGUUGAACAAAGUGUUGACGUUGCUGAAUAACAACUUAAACAUGAACUUAGUUAGUAAAAACAGCAGCUCUUUGCUGUGUUCAUCGAGUCUCUCGAGUCAUGGUUUUAAGUGUUUUGAAAUCUCACAGUAUCAACUUUGCGCGUUCGAUGCUUCUUUUUACAGCCUAUAGCUCGAGGAAACUGCAGACACGGUAAGCUGAGCCAUCUGAUUGGCCAGCGGUAGGCCUAUAGGGGCACUUGAUUUGGUCUCUGGGCCUGCCGGGUACGUGGAGUUCCACCUUCAGACACAUGAAACGGUUCAAAAUUGAAACACUUUUCCUUUCUGGCGCUAGGGCUGCGGAAUCAUGCACCAAUCGUGCACCUACCACCAACAGCGCUAAACAAACAAAUGAAAUAGGAAUGAAGACUUUAUCAUUGUUUUUAACAGAAAUGUUUGGUGAUCGACUAUGAAUGCCUUGGAGAUCGACCACUGAACUAAAGAGACUUUCAGUUCAUCUGUCUUCAACUGACAAACAUAAACAUAAACUUCUCAAAUAAGACAAAUACAGUCAAUUUUACACAUUAAGUGGUUCAGUUGGAAUGCAAUUAAUCGGAAUGUAUGUAUGUAGAAAACAGCAUUUGAUAUAAAACAAUCAAUUGAUGUUAUCCCUGAUGUUAUCCCUGAUGUUAUCACUGAUGUUAUCCCUGAUGUUAUCCCUGAUGUUAUUUAUCCCUGAUGUUAUCCCUGAUGUUAUCACUACAUACGUUUGCUGUGCAUUGAGGCACAUAUACAGCUGCUUAAAGGGAGUCAGUGGAACUGCAUGGAGAAUAGUAUGACUGUUCAUCAAACAAAAAAAAGGACAUUCACGGUUUUAUUGCCAACAGUCAUACAGAAUGAUGAUAACUCAUACAACCAAAGACUAAAUCUGUAAACAUUGUUUGGACUCAUUUCUUUGUUUUUAUUAUUUUUUUUACUUGUUCCAAAAUGUGUUUUUGUGGUCCUUCUGACAAAAAGACUCAUCAUAUUCAGAAUUUGGAAACUAGAGAGAGAGAGAGAGAGAGAGAGAGAGAGAGAAAAACGUUGAAUCUCAAGCAGCAACACUCAAGCAGUACUGCGAAACACAACUCUUAGAAUGCGUCCCAAACGGCACCCUAUUCUCUAUAGUGCACUACUUUUAACUAGGGCCCCCUGGUCAAAAGUAGUGCUUUAUAUAAGGAUUAGGGUGCCAAUGGGACGCACACUAAUGAACGGCAGGGCAUGCCCAUGAAGAAGUUCCAGCUAUUGCACUUUGAAGAAGAAAAACACCAUUGGUACAAAGAAAAGGCACAUUUUCAUCAACAGAAAUCUGAAAAAGCCAUGUUCUAGUGUGACUCUCUACUGUAUACAUGGGGAUGUUGAGUUGACUCACAGUUCUUUGUUGAGCUAACGUAACAUUAUUUAUGCCAAGCUAGUACUGUAAUGGUGUAAGAUUGAUUCAUGUAAGAUUAUUUGAUUAUUUGUUUAAACGUCUGAAUAGCAUGCGUGGACCUCCAGUCAGGAUUUGUCCCUAGGAGUUUUGGGAAUCUAUUCUUCAAUUUGGUCCUUUCCAAAAAAGUCACUGUACAGAUCUGCCAAGCCAAAUGUAUUACCAUUCUAUUGUGUCUGUUCAUAAACUGCCACAAAAGCAGUGGGCUGUCUGGAAAUGUACACAAUCUAGACUAAAAUGACAUGAAGCUGCUUUAGGCUAGACAGCAACUGUAUCAUAUCUUGAUGGGGAGGUUAUCAUAUCAUAACAUUGCUAUGAACCCCUUUAAAAAUCAGAGUAAGACUUAUUUAAAAGACAGUUGUGGGAGUAGAUCCAAGUACACUUCCUCUUGCUGAAAAAUACAGGUAGCCUACAGUAUCGUAAAUAACUGUCUUCUUGUCAAACAAAUUAACUGGAAACACAGGUUCUGUUUUGGUUCAAAAUACAGGUAGCCUACAGUAUCGUAAAUAACUGUCUUCUUGUCAAACAAAUGAACUGGAAACACAGGUUCUGUUUUGGUUCAAUCCUAAAUACACAUCAUUAUCUAACAGUGA